GGAUAUUCACACACUGAUGAAAAACUGCUUAGGGGCCUGGAGCAGAAAAAAAAAACACUGAGCAUUUUCAGUUUAGCUUAUUAGCUUGUGAAGAAGUAACCACAUUUCAACAUUUGGUCACUUACAGUUAUUGGCUUAAAGAGGAAUUGGAGGCUACUUCAGAGUAGUUCUGCAUGUCACUGUGGAGUAAAUGGUGAAUAUUACAUUAUACCCCAUAUUUUAUAUUUUCCUCACUGCAAAACAUGAGGGAAAAAAAACAAAAAAGUAGCUGUGAAGAUGAUAAGGCUGCAAGAGAUGGAGCCAGGUGGAAGGAAAAAGAAAAAUGAACACUUUUCUCUGAGCCUCAUUGCUGGAUGCAGUGGUUUAAUUAUUUUUAGGACAAAAACCCAAGUGUUUCUAGUAGACAAGAAAAGGUAAGAUAGCAGCUAUUACUAUGUACCUAGUCAAUGUCACUCUUCCACUACACAGUGGACACCUACAUUCUUUCACUGUUGCUUCGAG
This 501-nucleotide long non-coding RNA is filed under the name Coturnix japonica (Japanese quail). RNAcentral's name for it is "lncRNA (ENSCJPG00005015550.1)". Lineage: Eukaryota; Metazoa; Chordata; Aves; Galliformes; Phasianidae. The record is from RNAcentral.